This 1392-nucleotide ribosomal RNA is filed under the name uncultured Bordetella sp. Its description in RNAcentral is "partial 16S-23S ribosomal RNA intergenic spacer". It matches the Rfam family "Bacterial small subunit ribosomal RNA". Lineage: Bacteria; Pseudomonadati; Pseudomonadota; Betaproteobacteria; Burkholderiales; Alcaligenaceae. The record is from RNAcentral.
GAACGGCAGCACGGACUUCGGUCUGGUGGCGAGUGGCGAACGGGUGAGUAAUACAUCGAACGUGCCUCUGUAGCGGGGAUAACUACGCGAAAGCGUAGCUAAUACCGCACAUUAAUAUUCUUCGGGGGAAAGCGGGGGACUCGGGCCUCGCAAUCAUUAGGAGUGGCCGAUACUGAUUACUGUAGUUAGGGGUAACGGCUCACCGGAAAAGGACGAUCCGGUGUAGCUGGUUUGAGAGGACGACCAGCCACACUGGAUCACAGAGGACACGUCCAGACUCCUGUACGGGAGGCAGCAGUGGGGAAUUUUGGACAAUGGGGAAACCCUGAUCCAGCCAUCCCGUGCGAUGAAGGCCUUCGGGUUGUAAAGCACUUUUGGCAGGAGAAGAAACGGCACGGAUAAUACACCUGCAACUGACGGUACCUGCAGAAUAAGCACCGGCUAACUACGUGCCAGCAGCCGCGGUAAUGGCUUGUGGCAAGCGUUAACUGGAAUUACUGGGCGUAAAGCGUGCGCAGGCGGUUCGAAAGAAAGAUGAACCAGAGCUUUAACUUUGGAACUGGAUGGAACUACUGAGCCGAGCGUGUCAGGAGGAGGGAAUUCCGCGUGUAGCAGUGAAAUGCGUAGAUAUGCGGAGGAACACCGAUGGCGAAGGCAGCUUCUUGGAUAACAUCACGAUCACCAGACCAAAGCGGAGCAAACAGAGAUUGUAGAUACCCUGUAGUCCACGCCCUAAACGAUGUCAACUAGCUGUUGGCUUUCUGGCCUGGUAGCGCAGGCUGAACGGCAGGAAGUUGACCGCCUGGGAGUACGGUCGCAAGAUUAAAACUCAAAGGAGGUCGACGGGACCCGCCGAAGCGGUGAUGAUGUGGAUUAAAUUGACGCAACGCGAAAACCACCUGCCUUUACAUGUUCAGAAUCCUGAAGACGUGGAGUGCUCGCAGAGAACCGGAACACAGGUGCUGCACAUGGCUGUCGUCAGCUCGCAAUGAGAUGCUGGGUUAAGUCCCGCAACGCGCAACCUGUCAUUAGUUGGUUACGAAAGGGCACUCUAAUGAGAUCGCCAGACAAACCGAGGAAGGUGGGGUCAAGUCCUCAUGGCCCUUGCGGCAGGGCUUCCACACGUCAUACACUUGCCGGACAGAGGGUCGCCAACCCGCGAGGGGGAGCCAAUCCAGAAACCCGAUCGUAGUCCGGAUCGCAGUCUGCAACUCGACUGCGUGAAGUCGGAAUCGCCAGUAAUCGCGGAUCAGUAUGUCGUGUGCAACAUGUUCCGGCCCGUACACCGCCUGCCCACCAUGGGAGUGGGUUUUACCAGAAGUAGUUAGCCUAACCGUAAGAGGGCGAUUACCACGGUAGGAUUCAGCGACUGGGGUGGUCGUAACAAGGUAG